RNAcentral lists this ribosomal RNA (1278 nucleotides) under Bacillus licheniformis. RNAcentral's name for it is "bacterial SSU rRNA". It matches the Rfam family "Bacterial small subunit ribosomal RNA", at positions 100 to 1364 of the family's 1533-position model. The record is from RNAcentral. Lineage: Bacteria; Bacillati; Bacillota; Bacilli; Caryophanales; Bacillaceae.
GGACGGGUGAGUAACACGUGGGUAACCUGCCUGUAAGACUGGGAUAACUCCGGGAAACCGGGGCUAAUACCGGAUGCUUGAUUGAACCGCAUGGUUCAAUCAUAAAAGGUGGCUUUUAGCUACCACUUGCAGAUGGACCCGCGGCGCAUUAGCUAGUUGGUGAGGUAACGGCUCACCAAGGCGACGAUGCGUAGCCGACUGAGAGGGUGAUCGGCCACACUGGGACUGAGACACGGCCCAGACUCCUACGGGAGGCAGCAGUAGGGAAUCUUCCGCAAUGGACGAAAGUCUGACGGAGCAACGCCGCGUGAGUGAUGAAGGUUUUCGGAUCGUAAAACUCUGUUGUUAGGGAAGAACAAGUACCGUUCGAAUAGGGCGGCACCUUGACGGUACCUAACCAGAAAGCCACGGCUAACUACGUGCCAGCAGCCGCGGUAAUACGUAGGUGGCAAGCGUUGUCCGGAAUUAUUGGGCGUAAAGCGCGCGCAGGCGGUUUCUUAAGUCUGAUGUGAAAGCCCCCGGCUCAACCGGGGAGGGUCAUUGGAAACUGGGGAACUUGAGUGCAGAAGAGGAGAGUGGAAUUCCACGUGUAGCGGUGAAAUGCGUAGAGAUGUGGAGGAACACCAGUGGCGAAGGCGACUCUCUGGUCUGUAACUGACGCUGAGGCGCGAAAGCGUGGGGAGCGAACAGGAUUAGAUACCCUGGUAGUCCACGCCGUAAACGAUGAGUGCUAAGUGUUAGAGGGUUUCCGCCCUUUAGUGCUGCAGCAAACGCAUUAAGCACUCCGCCUGGGGAGUACGGUCGCAAGACUGAAACUCAAAGGAAUUGACGGGGGCCCGCACAAGCGGUGGAGCAUGUGGUUUAAUUCGAAGCAACGCGAAGAACCUUACCAGGUCUUGACAUCCUCUGACAACCCUAGAGAUAGGGCUUCCCCUUCGGGGGCAGAGUGACAGGUGGUGCAUGGUUGUCGUCAGCUCGUGUCGUGAGAUGUUGGGUUAAGUCCCGCAACGAGCGCAACCCUUGAUCUUAGUUGCCAGCAUUCAGUUGGGCACUCUAAGGUGACUGCCGGUGACAAACCGGAGGAAGGUGGGGAUGACGUCAAAUCAUCAUGCCCCUUAUGACCUGGGCUACACACGUGCUACAAUGGGCAGAACAAAGGGCAGCGAAGCCGCGAGGCUAAGCCAAUCCCACAAAUCUGUUCUCAGUUCGGAUCGCAGUCUGCAACUCGACUGCGUGAAGCUGGAAUCGCUAGUAAUCGCGGAUCAGCAUGCCGCGGUG